GUCUAUGGCCAUGCUAUCCUGAACAAGCCCGAUCCUGUCUGAUCUCAGAAGCUAAGCAGGGUCGGACCUGGUUAGUACUUGGGUGGGAGACCACACAUAGGAAGACCAGGUGCUGUAGGCU
Molecule: ribosomal RNA, 121 nt
Filed under: Pteropus alecto (black flying fox)
Lineage: Eukaryota; Metazoa; Chordata; Mammalia; Chiroptera; Pteropodidae
Source: RNAcentral